UGAGGAACAUGACCUUCGGCGGGGGAUAGCCGGCCCAACGGCCGGGUAAUACCGCGUACGACCACAUGGGGACAUCCCUGAGUGGUGAAAGCAGCAAUGCGCCGAUGGAGUGCCUCGCGGCCUAUCAGCUAGUUGGUGAGGUAACGGCUCACCAAGGCGACGCGGGUAAAAGCUGGUCUGAGAGGAUGGCCAGCCACAUUGGAACUGAGACACGGUCCAGACUCUACGGGA
Molecule: ribosomal RNA, 231 nt
Filed under: uncultured bacterium
Lineage: Bacteria
Description: partial 16S ribosomal RNA
Rfam family: Bacterial small subunit ribosomal RNA
Source: RNAcentral